UGACUAGAUCCACACUCAUCCAA
RNAcentral lists this microRNA (23 nucleotides) under Tribolium castaneum (red flour beetle). Lineage: Eukaryota; Metazoa; Arthropoda; Insecta; Coleoptera; Tenebrionidae. The record is from RNAcentral.